GCAAGUUAUGUCUAGAUGUUGAACACAGGCUCUGUACAACUGGAGUAGAAAAGAAAGACGAGAAAAGAAAGAAAAGAAAAAAGAUUGUACAUAUCAGAGAGAGCUAUUCAAGAACUAUAGAAGUAAUAGGUGUUGAAUCAGUUGUAAGCAGCUGCUGCCCAGAGGGACCCCAUCCACCAUUGAGUGUAUGAGGUUGAAAUUGCGCUUUUUUAAUUGGCAUUCUUCAAACUCGCUAUAUCACAUGACUUAGUGCGCGAGGUCGUCAUGUGCGCGAGUUCGUGGUGAAAUGCGUUACGUACGCUACACACUUAACUGUUGGGGGGAUUGGGUUGGGUGAUUCGUGCCCUCUAUGCCACCAUGGCGCUGGUGGUGAUUGAGCUCUUUUGCCCUAGUGGUCUAAUAUUAACUAACCAGUUAACUAACUAGUUACAUAUAUUAUCUAAUACACUCUCAUUCCUGCAUCAGAGGAUUAGAUUAGAUUAGGGGAUUCGAAUUAGGGUUAAGGAUUAGAGCCUUGCAAAAUAAGAAAAAUCAGCAUCAUUGAGAGGGAUCAAGAGAUGUAGUGAUGAUGUGUGGAUUUGUGUGGAGUAUACACUAGUUCAUAGAGUUUCAAUGAAGUGAGGGUUUGUCAGCUUUUUUGCAUCAUGAUGAACUUUUGCAUUGACUUUGAUAUGGUGCAAGAUUAGGACCUUACUAAGUGUAUUGAAUCUUCAGGCCACACCACCUGGGAUUUGGGCUGUGAGUUAGUGGGCAGGGGCAUUGGCUCCCUAUCCUUUUCAUUAAG
RNAcentral lists this small RNA (784 nucleotides) under Histoplasma capsulatum. RNAcentral's name for it is "hypothetical RNA". The record is from RNAcentral. Lineage: Eukaryota; Fungi; Ascomycota; Eurotiomycetes; Onygenales; Ajellomycetaceae. RNAcentral also lists the same sequence under 1 other name.